GCGAUCGUCGUUCUAACCAUGCACGUGUCCCCACGAGAUUUUUUUACCUUUUUCUUUUCUUUUCCGCGUGAGUGCUGAUAUUCUCCCUCAAUCAACCCUCAAGAUUUAGAACACCGUCUUCCAUUUUUCGCAUCUCUUUGUGUUUUAUCGUCUCGGGAAACAAAAUGAGUGGCAAGUCAAGUCGCACUUUAUAUGUUGGCAAUCUUCCUGGCGAUAUUCGCUUGAGAGAAGUAGAGGAUCUUUUCUACAAGUAUGGUCCUAUCGUUGACAUUGAUUUGAAGAUCCCUCCCAAACCACCAGGUUAUGCUUUUGUUGAGUUUGAGGAUGCUCGUGAUGCUCAGGAUGCAAUUUACUACAGAGAUGGUUAUGAUUUUGAUGGUUAUCGAUUACGGGUUGAACUUGCACAUGGUGGACGGUCAAGUUCAUCGUCAGUAGAUCGAUAUAGUAGGCAUAGCGGUAGAAGUGGUAGCUAUGGAGUUUCCAGGCGAUCUGACUAUCGUGUUCUGGUGACUGGAUUACCUCCUUCUGCUUCAUGGCAAGACCUGAAAGAUCACAUGCGUAAAGCUGGUGAUGUGUGUUUUUCUCAAGUAUUCCGGGAGCGUGGAGGCUUGACUGGGAUAGUGGAUUAUACCAAUUAUGAUGAUGUGAAAUAUGCUAUCAGGAAACUUGAUGACUCUGAAUUUCGAAAUGCAUUUUCUCGGGCAUACAUACGAGUGAGGGAAUAUGAUCGGAGUUAUUCUAGAAGCCCUAGUCGUGAUUCAAGGAGGAGCUAUUCUCGAAGCCGCAGCCCAUAUGCAUCACGAAGUCGAAGCCGCAGUCUAAGUCAUAGCUACAGUGGCAGGAGCAGAAGUUUGUCUCCAAAAGCAAGACACGCUCGUCGCUCAUUAUCUCUCUCAAGUUGUAGCCUUUUGCGGCGACCUGGGAACUGCAUGUUAGGAUCUUGAUGGCAUGUGGUGCUCAAACGCCUGCAACUUUGUGGUAUGAGGUAAUGAUGUUUUGUUGAUGAGCACCUCUGGAACACCUUAAUAUUGUGACUGACAAUAAAACUAAUGUUGUAUUGAUUAAAGACAUGGUGACACAGUCUUCCAUUGUUGUAGACUUGAUGACAGUAGAUGGAUGAGUUGCAAUCUAAAAGCUGGAUCACUGUGAACAUAAUACUAUUGGUAACAACAAUUGCAAAUCUGCAGUGAUACAGUUCAAAACCUACGAAUAACCUAUGCUCUAACUUCUGGGUUGAGGUUAUCUUUCUCUUUAGGAUUUCUUUUGUUGUCCUAUAUUGAGUUGGUUAUAUUAUCUCUUACCAACAAUUGGAUCUAGGUAUCAUGUACCGUUCGCAAUAGAUUUUUAAAACUUAAGCAUGACACAUAGUUCAAUUACUUCCCCCCUCGACUCUGCUCAUCUGGUAGAUUGAUUUCAUCCUUUUGGUGUCACCAACUUUGAUGUGGAAUUUGUAUUCGUGGAGCAAGUCAUCAAACUUUUGAUAUCACAUUCUGGAUAUUAAAUUGAGUUUUGUUCGUUUGAAUAUUUGCAGAUCCCAUACAAGAUCCAGAUCCCCGAGCUCGUCUCCUAGACGUUACCAGAGUCGCAGUCCUAGCCAAAGUUCAAGGAGCAUGUAACAAUCUCGUUUGGCUUAUAAGUGAGAUCUGAAUGUGUCAAUGUGUUUAAUCUGGGGAGACCACUACUGGAUAUGCAUUUUCAUUCCGGGCUAAGGUCCAAUAUAUUAUAGCUCUAUUAUUACAGCCCAUUCUAGUAUUGUAUUUGAAUCUUAAAUUUGACAGGUGAGAGACUGUGAAACAAACCUUUUGUGCAUUUAAAUUUGAAGUGGGUGAUUAGAACAGACUGGAAUGAUAUUGUAUUAACCUGUGCAUUUAGUAGUUUAAACCUGUGAUAUUGUAUUGGCUACUUAUCUUCUGGUAGUAUUCAUGCUCGAUUUUUACGA
Molecule: RNA transcript, 1939 nt
Organism: Vicia villosa (hairy vetch)
Lineage: Eukaryota; Viridiplantae; Streptophyta; Magnoliopsida; Fabales; Fabaceae
Gene name: serine/arginine-rich splicing factor SR30-like
Exons: 14
Source: RefSeq, a predicted model, not a curated record